UUAUGGCUCAGGAUGAACGCUAGCGACAGGCUUAACACAUGCAAGUCGAGGGGCAUCACGGGAGUAGCAAUACAACUGGUGGCGACCGGCGCACGGGUGAGUAACGCGUAUGCAACCUACCUAUCAGAGGGGAAUAACCCGGCGAAAGUCGGACUAAUACCGCAUAAAACAGGGGCACCGCAUGGUGAUAUUUGUUAAAGAAAUUCGCUGAUAGAUGGGCAUGCGUUCCAUUAGGUAGUUGGUGAGGUAACGGCUCACCAAGCCGACGAUGGAUAGGGGAACUGAGAGGUUGGUCCCCCACACUGGUACUGAGACACGGACCAGACUCCUACGGGAGGCAGCAGUGAGGAAUAUUGGUCAAUGGGCGGGAGCCUGAACCAGCCAAGUCGCGUGAAGGAAAGAAGGAUCUAUGGUUCGUAAACUUCUUUUGCAGGGGAAUAAAGUGCAGGACGUGUCCUGUUUUGUAUGUACCCUGAGAAUAAGGAUCGGCUAACUCCGUGCCAGCAGCUGC
This 511-nucleotide ribosomal RNA is filed under the name uncultured bacterium. RNAcentral describes it as "bacterial SSU rRNA". It matches the Rfam family "Bacterial small subunit ribosomal RNA", at positions 17 to 518 of the family's 1533-position model. The record is from RNAcentral.